AUGUAUUUGGACAAAGAUGGGUUGAAGGGUUGCAUAAAGAUAAUGUACGGAGAGUAUUUUGUGAUAUUUCUCCCUGUUUUCUGUAUUGUUUUCUUUGGUUUUCUCAACUGUUUUUCAGGUUUCUUAGCUGAUUUAUUUUGGCAUCUUGGAGCAAGCAUUGGAGCAGCAUCAACAGGUUUCUUAUCUGUUUUGUUUUGGCAUCUUGAAGCAAGCAUUGGAGCAACAACAACAACUUUUUGGAGUGUUAUAUUUGACCAUUUUGUAGACUAG
Non-coding RNA from Vicia faba (fava bean), 270 nucleotides. The record is from the annotation of a GenBank genome assembly. NCBI's taxonomy places the organism in Eukaryota, Viridiplantae, Streptophyta, Magnoliopsida, Fabales, Fabaceae.